This is a non-coding RNA of Phrynosoma platyrhinos (Desert horned lizard), 72 nucleotides long. Lineage: Eukaryota; Metazoa; Chordata; Lepidosauria; Squamata; Phrynosomatidae. The record is from the annotation of a GenBank genome assembly.
AGUCCUGUGGUGUACUGGUUUGAGCGUUGGACUACGACUCUGGGGACCCAGGUUCAAAUCCUGACUUGGCCA